CUGUGCUGCAUUUCUCCAAACCUGAUGAAGAAACAAACUUAUUUACAUCUUGGAUGGCUUAAAGGAGAAAGUCACUCAUACGGGUUUGGGACGACCUGAAGGGUUUCAUGACAGCGGCGGUAUUCUGGGGUCCGGUCCAGUGCUGCUGGGGGUCUGGAUGGAGAUGACAGGAGUCAGAGAGCUUAUGAGAGAACAACACCACGCUGCAAAGACUUCCUGUGAGCCGCGGAGACACACAAUGAGCCGCGUGACGUCACAGGAAACGUGGACAUGCAGCCGUACACACAUCACUGGGACUCAAACCAUCAGCAAACCAAGUCAAGCCUCCUCUCAGUUAAUCUGCUGCCAGCGGAGCCCAACAAUAGCCGGGUGGAGCCGUCUACUGCCACAAUACAGCGGCCCAGCGUGAGUCCACCUCCACAACACA
Labeo rohita (rohu) is the source of this 427-nucleotide long non-coding RNA. RefSeq lists it as uncharacterized. The transcript has 4 exons. Lineage: Eukaryota; Metazoa; Chordata; Actinopteri; Cypriniformes; Cyprinidae. The record is from RefSeq and is a predicted model, not a curated record.